CUGAGCGCGGAGGCGGGAGGGUGCCUUGUGGAACACGCAUGAGCCGGCUCCACCUGCUGCAGCUCAUAGUCGGUCUUCUCCACUCCGGUUUUCAAAGAUUCGACUGAUAUACAGGAAACACUCAGCUUUCUCCGGGAGCCAGAAUUUGUGACCAAGAAGGUGGGGGUGUCAGGGCUGCCGGCCCUCCGGAGGAAGCCAGCAGGCAGGUCCGGGGCAGGAGGUGCUGCGGUGCGGGGUCCAGACACGGUCAGACGCUCGUCCCCGGCAGCUGCUGCGGCCUCUGACAAAACAUCGUUCUCUUUUUUUUUUUUUUUUGACCAAAACCCACGAAUAAACAUCGUUCUUCAUCCUUACGCCUCCAAGACCUGCUGGCCCUGCCAGCGCCCGGGACGAGGCGGCAACUGCUCAUCGCGGUGGUGCUGUGGCCCAGGCCGGUCCUGCCCCGUGCACGUGCAGGUGCACCUGGACGCGCAGCACCAACCCCACCCUCGCCCUGUGAAGCGGCCAAGACACUGCGGCCUGAACCUGCUGUUGCUCCACCGCACACACGGCCUUAAAGACCCCGGAGAAGGGAACAUGCCGUAGACAAUGGGGAUUUCCUGACAGGAGCUGCCAAGGGUCCCUUGGGGACAUGUGACUUCCAUACUCGCUUCAGUUCUGUCUGACCUGCGACAGGCACUGUGUUUCCGCACGUUCGGAAGCCAGUUUGUAAGUAAAUUUUGAUUAGAAGGCGGCCAGAUUCAUUUGUUCACGUGCCACCUGCAGCUACUCUUGUGCCAUGGAAGCUAUGCCACCUGCACGGCUGAAAACACACACUGUCGGGUCCUGUGCGGAGAACGUCUGCCGACUCCUGCUCUGGCCGAUGGGAACAUUCGACUGACACGGGCAUCUCAGAGCAACCUGAGGUGCCGAAGCAAACCUAGGGAGGAGCAGCCUGCGCGAUCCUGGGAUGGUUGGAGGGAGGACUCGGGGUUGGGCCCUCCACCCGCAGAAUGGGUAAGUGAACCCGGCAGGUGAGGAGGGGCUGG
Long non-coding RNA from Canis lupus familiaris (dog), 1028 nucleotides. RefSeq lists it as uncharacterized. The transcript is spliced from 3 exons. NCBI's taxonomy places the organism in Eukaryota, Metazoa, Chordata, Mammalia, Carnivora, Canidae. The record is from RefSeq and is a predicted model, not a curated record.